CUCUUCUCCAACCUACUCCUGCACAGUUUUCUACAUUUCAACCAACUGCAGUUCCAACCUUCCCAUUGCUGAGCCCAAAACCCUGGAGUCCUCCCCAAUGAUUUUGUUUCUCUUUCAUUCUGUAUCCAGCCCAUGAGCAAAUCCUCUUGGUUCUUGGGGGGUUUUAAACAGUACAACAGCUGCCAUCGUGGUCCAAGCCAUCACCUUGACUCGCCUGCACUCUUGUGUUCGCCUCUUGGUUGGUCUCCUUGAGUCGCCUUUUUCAAGCCUUUGCUGAAACAUCACCUUCAAUAUGAAGCUUUCCUUGGCCACCAAAUUUAAAACUGAUCAACUCCCCUUUCUGUGACACUCCUAAGACGCUUUCCCCCGGCACCCAGAAGCUUCUCUCAUGUUACAUAAUUUUCUUAUUUAUUUUAUCUAGACUUCAUCUCCCUCCUACCAGAAAGUGAGCUCCAGAGGAGCUGGGAGAAUUUGUUGUGUCCUAGGGUGUAGAAUCACGCAUGGCACAAUAACUUUUGUUCAACGAGUGAAUAUUGAGGACUCAUGUGCUCCGCAGCCUGACCUGCCACCCUCUGCCCUCUCCUUCUAGUCAUGAUCUGGCUGUUGAAUUCCUUCUCACCCUAGUUUUUCUCUCCACCCAGGUGCUUCAAGCUGGUGUCUUGAAGGACAGGCUUUGUCACUUCUCUGCCAGCUCCCCCACAUCCUACUUCUUAAACAUCCUUCCUGGCUUCUGCAGCAGCAGAUCAUAGAAUCGUCUCUGCCCGUUCAUCAGCCUCAAGGCCCUGAUAUACUUUUCCAUUCACUAAGUUUAUGCUCUGCUUGGUUGGAACUGGGAUUGGAAAUUUUAUGGUCCAGGAAUCCCUUUUCCUUUGCUGUGACAUUUUUUUCCCGACUGCUCCAACCCAUAUUGAACUGAUUUCCCCCAUACCUAAAUUAUUUUAGGGCAUGGAUAAUAACAAUAAGCAUUACAUACAUUUCUCCCUGAAUGUUUGUAACAAUAUUAGAGAGAUAUUAUUAUUAUUAUUUUAUCAACAAGAAAACUGAGGCCCAGAGAAGUUAACUAGUUAGCCAAGUUACUGUGAGAUAAUAGAGUAAAAAUUCUAAUGCAGGUUGGUCUAAAUUCAAACCUUGUGCCCUUGGCCCUUUCAUACUUACGGUCAGAACCAAAGUUAAAUUCUUAGUCACUUCUAAUUAUUUCCUGGAAGUGGGAUUCAAGUUCCCUGGGGGCUCAUAUAUAGGAAUGGUCAUACCCCUAAUCUGUCUGUGACCUCUUUGGAGCCUGGUUUAGAGGAGUCUUUCUGGCAGAUUCAUCAGGUUCGGUGGCCUUUGGUGGGAAAGGAAGAAAAUGGGACAACUUUAUGAAUCAUUAUACAAGAAAGAACAUCCCAAUAGAAAACUGCCCUGCACGGAAACUAGAAAACCCUACUCCCUUUCCCUCCUGCUUCACUACUGCAUCUUGGUGAAAACCACAAUGGCACAUGCAUGCUUAUUACGAUGGGAAAGAAAGAGAUAGAUAGGUGUGUUUUUAUAUUUUCCAACCAAAUGAUUUUUCUGCUCCUUAAGUGAUAUUUUCAGAGACUAUUGUUACUGAGGAAGCAGCCUCCUAUAAAUCUGGAAGCAGCUAAUAUAAAUCUAACCAUCCGCCUACCUAUGUAUUCAGUCCCAGGGAAGAUACGAAGUCUCUUCCUUGUAGGGAUUACGAAGAAGCAGGUACAAGUGACAAAUCAAAGAGCAAGGAUGUCCAGCAAUGCUCUGGAGGCACAGCAAUGCUCAGAGGCCAGCAACAAUCUCCCUUGGCCAUGCAAUAUUCCCCAGCUGUUCUCAUCCACAUAGAACUGGCUCAUCUUCAAAUCAGGUCCUGUAUUCACGGAGGGACCUGCAUUACUCUGGUUCACCCUGAAAAGAUGCCAUCUCAGACAGGCUGCAUGGGAAGGUGCAGUGAUCUCCCAGCCCAGCUGCCUGUCUGAACACCAGGGAUCCAGAGUGGGAAUGUGUGUAAGUCUUCACCACCAGGAGGAAACGCUAAAACCCAGAUUCCAGGGGACAGGGGAAGAUCUGCCCGUGGGGACACAGGGCAGCCAGGAGGAGCCCCGCCAGGGCUUGGCAUGUGGCACCAGCCAGGGUCAGUGAACGCCCACAGUGACAUCACAGCCAAACAACCGGGACCUUAU
This 2171-nucleotide long non-coding RNA is filed under the name Homo sapiens (human). Its description in RNAcentral is "HSALNT0397304". The record is from RNAcentral. Lineage: Eukaryota; Metazoa; Chordata; Mammalia; Primates; Hominidae.